GUGAACGCUGGCGGUAGGCCUAACACAUGCAAGUCGCACGGCAGCACAGUAAGCGCUUGCUCUUACGGGUGGCGAGUGGCGGACGGGUGAGGAAUACAUCGGAAUCUACUUUUUCGUGGGGGGUAACGUAGGGAAACUUACGCUAAUACCGCAUACGACCUACGGGUGAAAGCAGGGGAUCUUCGGACCUUGCGCGAUUGAAUGAGCCGAUGUCGGAUUAGCUAGUUGGCGGGGUAAAGGCCCACCAAGGCGACGAUCCGUAGCUGGUCUGAGAGGAUGAUCAGCCACACUGGAACUGAGACACGGUCCAGACUCCUACGGGAGGCAGCAGUGGGGAAUAUUGGACAAAGGGCGCAAGCCUGAUCCAGCCAUACCGCGUGGGUGAAGAAGGCCUUCGGGUUGUAAAGCCCUUUUGUUGGGAAAGAAAAGCAGCAGGUUAAUACCCCGCUGUUCUGACGGUACCCAAAGAAUAAGCACCGGCUAACUUCGUG
Molecule: ribosomal RNA, 491 nt
Filed under: uncultured bacterium
Lineage: Bacteria
Description: partial 16S ribosomal RNA
Rfam family: Bacterial small subunit ribosomal RNA
Source: RNAcentral